This is a long non-coding RNA of Cyprinus carpio (common carp), 437 nucleotides long. The record is from Ensembl. Lineage: Eukaryota; Metazoa; Chordata; Actinopteri; Cypriniformes; Cyprinidae.
UAUAAAACUAGCAAACAAAAUUACAUGCUGAUACUUUUGCUUUCUGUCUUGUUUAUUUUCUCCAUAGGUCAGAAUGAUGUUCUGGCGAUUUGAAACAAAAUCAGAAAACACACUGUACUUGGCCACUGGCCAGCUCAUCUAGUCUGACAGCUACUCUUUUCUCCUCCCAUCAGACGGGGAGUAAAUAUUAUCUUUGAGUCUUGCAGCAACUAAACAAUCUGUCAGGAUCAAAACAAGAGAAAGGAACUAUGAGUCAGAUCUUUACGGAUUGAGCCCAGCAAUAAAAAAGAAAACAGAUCAGAAUGAUAUAAGAUGUUAUUCAGAGAAAUAUUUCAGGAACAGGAACCAAAAUACAGUGUUUUCUCAGAGAAGUUUAUCAAAAGAAGCUUCAGGCACAUACUCAUGUAAGUCUAUUUACUCAUUUUAUGUUCCGCUGU